RNAcentral lists this ribosomal RNA (406 nucleotides) under uncultured bacterium. RNAcentral's name for it is "partial 16S ribosomal RNA". It matches the Rfam family "Bacterial small subunit ribosomal RNA", at positions 29 to 526 of the family's 1533-position model. The record is from RNAcentral.
AUUGAACGCUGGCGGCAGGCCUAACACAUGCAAGUCGAGCGAGCGGCGGACGGGUGAGUAAUGUCUGGGAAACUGCCUGAUGGAGGGGGACAACGACGGGAAACUGUCGCUAAUACCGCGUACCAUAGGAUGAGCCCAAGUGGGAUUAGGUAGAUGGUGGGGUAAUGGCCUACCAAGCCGACGAUCUCUAGCUGGUCUGAGAGGAUGACCAGCCACACCGGGACUGAGACACGGCCCGGACUCCUACGGGAGGCAGCAGUGGGGAAUAUUGCGCAAUGGGGGCAACCCUGACGCAGCCAUGCCGCGUGAAUGAAGAAGGCCUUCGGGUUGUAAAGUUCUUUCGGUAGCGAGGCGUUAACUACAGAAGAAGCACCGGCUAACUCCGUGCCAGCAGCCGCGGUAAUAC